GAAAGAACUUAAUAAAACGAUUGAAAAAUAUCUAGCCAAACAGAAUGAGAAAUAGAGAGAAUAGAAAAUAAACUUCUUUUCUUUGUAUUCAAAAAUGCUUGCUUCUUAAUUCUCAAUGUAUAGUAUUUAUAGACUUUGUUGACUAGUCUAAAAGCUGAACAACAACCUUACCAGACUCACAACUAACUAACAAUUUCAUAUACUCUAAUAUUCAUCCAUCUUCUCCACAGGCCACACCCGUAGAAAACUCCUCAAACGAGUAAAACUCGAUAGCGAAAGCGGCUUAGUCAGAACAUCAGCGACUUGAUCACACGCUGGAACCUCACCAAUGGCAAUAGUCCCAUUAGCAACCUUUUCACGAACAAAAAACAAAUCUAACUCAACAUGCUUAAACUUUGAAUGAAGAACAGGAUUAGCAGCAACUGCAACUGCCCCAGAACUAUCACACCAAAUAUCAGGAAUACUAGUAGACUGAACACGCAAUUCUUGAAGUAAUGAUAAAAGCCACGUAACCUCACUAGUAACUGCAGCAAGACUCCGAUAUUCUGCCUCAGCAGUAGACCGAGCAACAACCUGCUAUUUCUUCGUACACCACGAAACAGGAGAAUGUUCGAAAUAAACACAGUAUCCAGUAGUAGAUCUCCGGUCAUCAAAAUCUAAUCCCCAGUUUGCAUCAGCAUACCCAACUAAUGACAAACCGGUGGACGGAUGAAAUACAAUCCCAAAAUCAAUUGUUCCACCUAGAUAUCUCAAAAUGCGCUUCAGAGCUGUCAUAUGAACAAAAGUGGGACAAUACAUAAACUGACAUAUUCGAUUUACAGCAUAUGCAACAUCAGGCCGCGUAAGAGUGACGCACUGUAACGCCCCUGCAAGACUCCUAUAUUCAGUUGGAUCCUCUAAACGCUCACCAUCAUUUCUAGUCAUGAUAGAGGAACUAAUCAUCGGUGUAUGAACACUUUUCGCAUUUUCCAUCGAGCAUCUUAUAAGAAUAUCACGUAUAUACUUCUUCUGACAAAGAUGAAGACAGCCUGAUGAAGAACAAGUCACCUCUAUCCCAAGAAAGUAAUGAAGAUCGCCCAUGUCUUUAAGUGAGAACUUACUAUUCAGCAAUUGAACAAACCACUCUAUAACAGAAGGCACAUCACCAGUAACAAUAAUAUCAUCAACAUACACAAGAACAUACAACGUUGAAGCUGGUACAAUUCGAACAAAUAAUGAAGCAUCAGACUUUGAUACCACAAACCCCACAGAUACUAGAAAUCCUUUUAACUUCUCAAACCAGGCACGAGGAGCCUGACGAAGACCAUACAGCGCUUUCUUCAAACGACACACCAGAGGUCUACCAUCUGAACCAUACUGAACAUAGCCGGGAGGUUGAUGCAUGAAAACUUCAGUGUCAAGAUCGCCAUUUAGAAACGCAUUAUUCACAUCCACUUGCCAAAGUGACCACCCCCUAGACACAGCAACAGACAAAAUAACUCUGAUAGUAGCCGGUUUAACUACCGGACUAAACGUUUCCUUAAAAUCACAACCCGAAACUUGGGAGUAACCUUUUGCAACUAAGCGAGCCUUAUGUCGAGCAAUAGUACCAUCAGAAUUCUUCUUAACUCUGAACAACCAUUUGCACCCAAUGACCUUACGAUUAGACGGAGCAGGAACAAGCUCCCAUGUGGAAUUACGCAUUAGAGCAUCAUACUCAUCUUGCGCAGUAGCGCGCCACUCAACAGUAGCUAGAGCUUCUUCAAUUGUAGACGGUUCAACAGCUUCAACAUUUAAAACCUUAGGCUUGUAAAUUCCAGCUUUAGCUCUAGUAAUCAUUGAGUGAACAUUACCCACAGGUGGCCUACUAAUCUGACUAUCAGAUACCGACGAACCUGCAGACAUUCUCACAUUAGAGUGAGAGUGAGCAUUGGUAUCACUUGAUGAUCCCGAGUCAUGCACUGCUGGAAGAUUAUUCGACCCAGUCCCAACAUCAGCUGAAGAAUCAUGAGACUGAGGCUGCUCCAAAUUAACAUCUAAUAUAUGAUCAUUAGACUGAGACUGCAACCCUUGUAGUGACGGUGUUAUCACGCAAGGCUCAAGAGUGGAGGAAAAAGACGGCCACACAAGAGGAACAACCGUCAAACUAGUCUGACUAGUCGUCGAUACAAACUUGUCGGGACUAGUCUCAGCAAACAAAAACCUUUGCUCAUCAAACACCACAUGCCUUGAAAUUAUAACCUUACCAUCUGGUAAAAGACACUGAUACCCCUUGUGACGAGGACUGUAGCCCAGAAAUAUAGACGGCUGAGACUGAAAAUCCAACUUAUGACUUACAAACGGAUGUAAAUAAUGAUAACAACAGCAUCCAAAUACUCGAAGAUGAUCAUAGGUCGGAUCAUUCCCAUAGAGUGCCUUAAACGGAGAACUGUCCUGAAGAACAACAGUAGGAAGUCGAUUUAUAAGAUGGACCGCACAACAAAACGCAUACCCCCAGUAUUCCAUAGGUAAAUUUGCAUGUGCCAAUAAUGUAAUACCCACUUCAACAAUGUGACGAUGUUUACGCUCAGCUACUCCAUUUUGUUCUGAAGUAUACGGACAGGUCAGUCGAUGUAUAAUUCCUUGAGAUUCUAGGACAGAUGUAAACCCACGGUAUUCUCCUCCCUAAUCGCUCUGGAAUUGCUUAAUAGACUUGCCAAACUGUGUCUUAACUAAUUUUUGAAACUGAGUAAAGCAUUCUAAUGCUUGGGCUUUUUGACGUAAAAGAUAAACCCAAGUAAACCUAGUGCACAUGUCAAUAAACGAAACAUAAUAUCUCUUAUCACCAUAUGCAACAGAUGCGGGACCCCAAAGAUCAGACACAACCAAUUCAAAAGGACGAUAGCAAGUAGUCGAAGGGGAGAAAGGCAACUUAUGUGACCUGCCUUUUUGACAUGCAGUACAUAUACCAUCCAAACUAUUUUUACUUGAAGCAACAUUACAUUUAUUUAAAAUUGUUUUAACCACAGAAGUUGAUGGGUGGCCUAAACGAUUAUGCCAUAAAGCAAACACAUUAUUAUUUUUAACUACAUGUGGAACUUGCAAAUGAGCAACAAAUGGAUCAAUUGUAGACGGAGUAGAAACCACUGGCACAGAAAAUUGAUAUAGUCCAUCAUGAAUGCGGCCCGUCAGCAAUAUCUCCCGAGUCACCAUAUCCUUAAUAACACAAUGGGUAGGAUGAAACUCAAAAAACACACCAUUAUCUCGAGCAAACUGUGAGACAGAUAAGAGAUUUUUCCGUAUACUUGGCACACAUAAAACAUUUGAUAACCGUAAAGAUUUAUACUGAGUAGGGAAAAUAGUAGUACCAAUUGACAAGAUGACCGCAGGAGUACCAUCACCCAUUAAAAGAGAUGACGUACCCGAAUAUGGCGUGACAUCACGUAAAGCUGACACAUCAUGGCAGACGUGAUGACUCGCACCCGAGUAGGAUACCAAGAAGUGGUGCCACCGCGCACUAGAACAUACGGAUCAUCAUUACCAGUACUAGAUCCAAGUUGAGCAGUGUUGACAUGAGAGCCGAAUACUGAAGGAUCAGAAUAAUCAGAUGCAUGUAAAUCCCCUAGCCGAGGAAGCCCAAUACAUGGUUCGUACCCAGUAUAAACUCGAGCACGCGGUUUGGUAAAUCAUAGAACCCGAUCAACACCAAUCGGUUCAGGCGAACCGGGAUCACUUUGAUCAACUUGAACAAAAUUAGAUGAUGGAACACCAUUUAUAUUUGGGUCAAUAUUCGGCCUAUUGGAGGAAUUUACCACAUUUGGCCCUUGCAACACAUGCAGUCCAUUUUCAGCAGCAAAUUCCACUAGGGCAUUUCUAUUAAAGCCAUUGCUAUUAAAACCAUGCCCAUCAUCAUUUCCAAACUGACACAAAUUUGAUUUAAAAUUAUUCCCAUAUGGCCUGCCAUAUUCAUUUGCAUAUGACACCUGGGGCCCACGUGCCAAUUUUUCACUUUGCAUGCCAGCCCACCAAUUUUGACCACUAUUUUGAUUGACUUUGCAAGCCAUUACUCCAAUUUUGACCACCAUUUCGAUUUUGACUUGAAUAGUUCCCUUGUCCAUAAAUUAUUCUCUGACUUUUGUGAUAAGGAGCCAUACACUGUUCUUCUUCCUCUUGCGCACACACUCCAAACUUAGCCUUCUCAACACCCGACGGAGCCCCUUGAUGAGAGACCGAUGACACCACAGAUGAGUCGUUCGAGUCUCUAUGAUAACGAUAGUAGCACUUUUGAGCCACAUGACCGAACCGACUGCAGAUCUGGCAUUGAAUGCGAGAUCGGAAAGUUCUGCCACUGCCACGAACAGGCGCACGGCCUCCAUGACUGACUCCUUCAACCGACGACGCAUCCUCAACCAGAUUCACGUUCAAACUUACAUCCUGCAACACUCGAGCUUGACGGCUCUCACAAUUGACCAACGCAUCUACCAAACGUUGUAACGGUAAAACUCCAGGUGACAACCGAGCAGAGGAAAUAACCGCCUCAAAGUCCGACGGCAACCCCGCCAGCACCACUUCGAUCUUCUCUUCGUCGGAGAUACGAGAUCCAGACGCAUCUAACAAAGCACACAAAUCUUUAAUCUGGUUAACAUACGCCUUAAUAGAAAGAUUACCUUUCUUCAAUGAGUGAAGCUCAUGCCGAAUCCUUGACUGCUUGGCACCCGUAUCAGCUGCAAAAAGAUUAACAGCCAUACUCCAUAUGUUGCACGCUGUGCAAGCAUCAUCAAAGGAGGAUUGAUGAGAAGAAGUUACCGUAGACAAAAGCCAGGACAUCAACAGCUGAUCUUGCUGUGUAAACACCUGAGCCGCCAGAUUUGGAGCACGAGAACCAUCGGGUAGAAUAACAAAUCGGGAUGGCGGAGCAACAGUGCCAUCUAAGAAACCUGUGAGUCCAUAGCCAUUAACAAUCAGUUUUACCUGUUUACGCUAUUGAAGGUAAGUACCUUCAUCGAGUUUGACCACUUCAUGUCGAGGAAGAACGGUUGUGACUCGAUCGGCAGUAAACACACCAGAGCUAGGUUCACCAGAUGCGGAAUCAGCGGAAGCCAUGAGAAGCAAUCACCAGAAUCAAUUGGUGAAUGAUACCAUGAAAGAACUUAAUAAAACGAUUGAAAAAUAUCUAGCCAAAUAGAAUGAGAAAUAGAGAGAAUAGAAAAUAAACUUCUUUUCUUUGUAUUCAAAAAUGCUUGCUUCUUAAUUCUCGAUGUACAGUAUUUAUAGACUUUGUUGACUAGUCUAAAAGCUGAACAACAACCUUACCAGACUCACAACUAACUAACAAUUUCCUAUACUCUAAUAGAAUGUUACUUAUUUUGAGAAUUAACCUUUUGGUUUGCUGUCCGGUAUUUCCAUUCAUCGGUUCACUUCAAUGGCAGACUCAGAUUCUUCAAGAC
RNAcentral lists this long non-coding RNA (5405 nucleotides) under Gossypium barbadense (sea-island cotton). Its description in RNAcentral is "long non-coding RNA (GBAR_LNC017781)". Lineage: Eukaryota; Viridiplantae; Streptophyta; Magnoliopsida; Malvales; Malvaceae. The record is from RNAcentral.